GGCUCGGUGGCCUAAUGGUAAGGCGUUGCUUUCCGGUACCCUGGAGCAUGGCAAAGAUUGUGGGUUCGAGUCCCAUCCGAGUCG
Molecule: transfer RNA, 84 nt
Filed under: Bimuria novae-zelandiae CBS 107.79
Lineage: Eukaryota; Fungi; Ascomycota; Dothideomycetes; Pleosporales; Didymosphaeriaceae
Rfam family: tRNA
About the family: Transfer RNA (tRNA) molecules are approximately 80 nucleotides in length. Their secondary structure includes four short double-helical elements and three loops (D, anti-codon, and T loops).
Source: Rfam by way of RNAcentral